Molecule: transfer RNA, 89 nt
Filed under: Pyrodictium sp.
Lineage: Archaea; Thermoproteati; Thermoproteota; Thermoprotei; Desulfurococcales; Pyrodictiaceae
Description: tRNA-Leu
Rfam family: tRNA
About the family: Transfer RNA (tRNA) molecules are approximately 80 nucleotides in length.
Source: RNAcentral
GCGGGGGUGCCCGAGCCAGGUCCAAGGGGGCGGGCUUAAGACCCGCUCGGCGUAGGCCGGCGUGGGUUCAAAUCCCACCCCCCGCACCA